AAGUCGUAACAAGGUUUCCGUAGGUGAACCUGCGGAAGGAUCAUUAAUGAAUUGUCAUCGGUCCGGUUGUCGCUGGCCCUCCGGGGCAUGUGCACACUGGUCCGAACACGAUCUUAAACCUGUGCACCCAUGGCGGAGAGGGGUGUUUCUGGAGCUCUUCGGGGCUUUGGAACACCUUUUUCCUGCUCUUACACACUCUGCAUGUCUAGAAUGUCUUCUGCGUUUGACGCAAUUAAAUACAACUUUCAGCAACGGAUCUCUUGGCUCUC
This 269-nucleotide unclassified non-coding RNA is filed under the name air metagenome. RNAcentral describes it as "partial contains small subunit ribosomal RNA, internal transcribed spacer 1, and 5.8S ribosomal RNA". The stretch from base 1 to 46 matches the Rfam family "Eukaryotic small subunit ribosomal RNA", at positions 1786 to 1831 of the family's 1831-position model. The record is from RNAcentral.